AAGGUACUAGUAAAAUUGAUAUUACACUGCCUUGUCAAGGCGAAAUUGUGAGUUAAAGCCCCACGUAUCUUA
Molecule: transfer RNA, 72 nt
Filed under: Notopterus notopterus (bronze featherback)
Lineage: Eukaryota; Metazoa; Chordata; Actinopteri; Osteoglossiformes; Notopteridae
Description: tRNA-Asp
Rfam family: tRNA
About the family: Transfer RNA (tRNA) molecules are approximately 80 nucleotides in length.
Source: RNAcentral